RNAcentral lists this ribosomal RNA (468 nucleotides) under uncultured bacterium. Its description in RNAcentral is "partial 16S ribosomal RNA". It matches the Rfam family "Bacterial small subunit ribosomal RNA", at positions 28 to 507 of the family's 1533-position model. The record is from RNAcentral.
GACGAACGCUGGCGGCGUGCUUAACACAUGCAAGUCGAACGGAAAGGCCCUGCUUUUGUUGGGUGCUCGAGUGGCGAACGGGUGAGUAACACGUGAGUAACCUGCCCUUGACUGUGGGAUAACUUCAGGAAACUGGGGCUAAUACCGGAUAGGAGCUCCUGCUGCACGGUGUGGGUUGGAAAGUGUCGGCGGUGGGGGAUGGACUCGCGGCUUAUCAGCUGGUUGGGCGAGUAGUGGCUUACCAAGGCUUUGACGGGUAGCCGGCAUGGGAGGGUGACCGGCGACAUUGGGACUGCGGUACGGCCCAGACUCCUACGGGCCGCAGCAGUGGGGAAUCUUGCACAGUAGGCGGAAGCCUGAUGCAGCGGCGCCGCGUGCGGGAUGACGGCCUUCGGGUUGUAAACCGAUUUCGCAUGUGACGAAGCGUGCGUGACGGUAAUGGGUAAGAAAGCCCCGGCUAACUACGUG